RNAcentral lists this ribosomal RNA (224 nucleotides) under uncultured bacterium. Its description in RNAcentral is "partial 16S ribosomal RNA". It matches the Rfam family "Bacterial small subunit ribosomal RNA", at positions 124 to 334 of the family's 1533-position model. The record is from RNAcentral.
ACCUACCUCGAAGUGAGGGAUACCGGCGAGAAAUGGCCGACAAUCCCGCAUAGGUUUCUUUCUUCCUGAGGAAGCGGGAAACAAAGCUGUUGUCGCGAGACGAGGGCGCUUUGAGAUGGGCCCGCGGCCGAUUAGCUAGUUGGUGGGGUAAGAGCCUACCAAGGCUGCGAUCGGUAGCUGGUCUGAGAGGACGAUCAGCCACACUGGGAUUGAGAACGGCCCAG